RNAcentral lists this ribosomal RNA (253 nucleotides) under uncultured bacterium. RNAcentral describes it as "partial 16S ribosomal RNA". It matches the Rfam family "Bacterial small subunit ribosomal RNA", at positions 524 to 776 of the family's 1533-position model. The record is from RNAcentral.
UACGAAGGGGGCUAGCGUUGCUCGGAAUCACUGGGCGUAAAGGGCGCGUAGGCGGCCAUUCAAGUCGGGGGUGAAAGCCUGUGGCUCAACCACAGAAUUGCCUUCGAUACUGUUUGGCUUGAGACCGGAAGAGGUUAGUGGAACUGCGAGUGUAGAGGUGAAAUUCGUAGAUAUUCGCAAGAACACCGGUGGCGAAGGCGGCCAACUGGUCCGAUACUGACGCUGAGGCGCGAAAGCGUGGGGAGCAAACAGG